CCUACGGGUGGCAGCAGUCGAGAAUCAUUCACAAUGGGGGAAACCCUGAUGGUGCGACGCCGCGUGGGGGAAUGAAGGUCUUCGGAUUGUAAACCCCUGUCAUGUGGGAGCAAAUUAAAAAGAUAGUACCACAAGAGGAAGAGACGGCUAACUCUGUGCCAGCAGCCGCGGUCAUACAGAGGUCUCAAGCGUUGUUCGGAAUCACUGGGCGUAAAGCGUGCGUAGGCUGUUUCGUAAGUCGUGGGUGAAAGGCGCGGGCUCAACCCGCGGACGGCACAUGAUACUGGGAGACUAGAGUAAUGGAGGGGGAACCGGAAUUCUCGGUGUAGCAGUGAAAUGCGUAGAUAUCGAGAGGAACACUCGUGGCGAAGGCGGGUUCCUGGACAUUAACUGACGCUGAGGCACGAAGGCCAGGGGAGCGAAAGGGAUUAGAUACCCCAGUAGUC
This 446-nucleotide ribosomal RNA is filed under the name uncultured bacterium. RNAcentral's name for it is "partial 16S ribosomal RNA". It matches the Rfam family "Bacterial small subunit ribosomal RNA", at positions 338 to 795 of the family's 1533-position model. The record is from RNAcentral.